AAGUCGUAACAAGGUUUCCGUAGGUGAACCUGCGGAAGGAUCAUUAAUAGUCCAUACUACGUCCUACACCUGUGUUGCUGUCGUUAGUACUGGCGCCUUGGGGGUCCUGGCUCGGCCAAGGCCACAGGCGCCGGCAACAACCUGCGAAAUAAAAAUUGUAUACGUGUAACGAACCAAUAACAAUACAACUGUUAGCAACGGAUCACUUGGUUCUC
This 215-nucleotide unclassified non-coding RNA is filed under the name Phylloporus sp. RNAcentral's name for it is "partial contains small subunit ribosomal RNA and internal transcribed spacer 1". The stretch from base 1 to 46 matches the Rfam family "Eukaryotic small subunit ribosomal RNA", at positions 1786 to 1831 of the family's 1831-position model. The record is from RNAcentral. Lineage: Eukaryota; Fungi; Basidiomycota; Agaricomycetes; Boletales; Boletaceae.